CAACCCCUCAAGCACUGCUUGGUGUUGGGGCCCCUACGUGCGCCGUAGGCCCCGAAUUCCAGUGGCGGGCUCGCCGCGAACCCGAGCGUAGUAGCUUUUGCCUCGCUCAGGGCCCGCGGCGGGCGCCUGCCGUGAAAGAACCCACAUUCCAAAGG
RNAcentral lists this unclassified non-coding RNA (155 nucleotides) under uncultured Nodulisporium. RNAcentral describes it as "sequence contains ITS2". Lineage: Eukaryota; Fungi; Ascomycota; Sordariomycetes; Xylariales; Xylariaceae. The record is from RNAcentral.